RNAcentral lists this ribosomal RNA (407 nucleotides) under Chiasmocleis shudikarensis group sp. ABGD cluster 25. RNAcentral describes it as "partial large subunit ribosomal RNA". It matches the Rfam family "Bacterial large subunit ribosomal RNA", at positions 1834 to 2457 of the family's 2925-position model. The record is from RNAcentral. Lineage: Eukaryota; Metazoa; Chordata; Amphibia; Anura; Microhylidae.
CCUGAAAGAUUAUAGGAGGUCCAGCCUGCCCAGUGAUAAAAUUAAACGGCCGCGGUACCCUAACCGUGCGAAGGUAGCGCAAUCACUUGUUCUUUAAAUGAGGACUAGUAUGAACGGCAUCACGAGGAUUAUACUGUCUCCCUUCUUUAAUCAGUGAAACUGAUCCCCCCGUGAAGAAGCGGGAAUAAACAUAUAAGACGAGAAGACCCUAUGGAGCUUUAAACUUAACACCACUUAUCUAAAACACUUCAUAAUAAACAGAUAAGCUUGUGCGCGUUUUAGGUUGGGGUGACCGCGGAGUAAAAUUUAACCUCCACGUUGAAAGGCCUUUAUCCUUAUCCAAGAGCCACAUCUCCAAGAAUCAACAAAUUGACAUUUAUUGACCCAAAUUUUUUUGAUCAACGAAC